GACGAACGCUGGCGGCGUGCUUAACACAUGCAAGUCGAACGGAAAGGCCCUUCGGGGUUCUCGAGUGGCGAACGGGUGAGUAACACGUGGGUGAUCUGCCCUGCACUUUGGGAUAAGCCUGGGAAACUGGGUCUAAUACCGAAUAGGACCACGCGCUUCAUGGUGUGUGGUGGAAAGCUUUUGCGGUGUGGGAUGGGCCCGCGGCCUAUCAGCUUGUUGGUGGGGUAAUGGCCUACCAAGGCGACGACGGGUAGCCGGCCUGAGAGGGUGACCGGCCACACUGGGACUGAGAUACGGCCCAGACUCCUACGGGAGGCAGCAGUGGGGAAUAUUGCACAAUGGGCGCAAGCCUGAUGCAGCGACGCCGCGUGAGGGAUGACGGCCUUCGGGUUGUAAACCUCUUUCAAUAGGGACGAAGCGCAAGUGACGGUACCUAUAGAAGAAGCACCGGCCAACUACGUG
RNAcentral lists this ribosomal RNA (462 nucleotides) under uncultured bacterium. RNAcentral describes it as "partial 16S ribosomal RNA". It matches the Rfam family "Bacterial small subunit ribosomal RNA", at positions 28 to 507 of the family's 1533-position model. The record is from RNAcentral.